UGCUGGCCUCUCCCUGUGCGUAGCAGAGGCUCGGCGCCUGGAGUGACCGGCACGUGUGAGACUGCACUCGCUUACUCUGUGUCUUGGCAGCCAUUCGAUGAGGACUAUCUAAACCAUCUCGAGCCUCCCGUGAAGCACAUGUCCUUCCACGCCUACAUCCGGAAGCUGACUGGAGGGGCUGACAAGGGGAAGUUUGUUGCCCUGGAGAACAUCAGCUGCAAGAUUAAGUCAGGGUGUGAGGGGCACCUCCCGUGGCCGAAUGGCAUCUGUACUAAGUGCCAGCCGAGCGCCAUCACGCUGAACAGACAGAAGUACAGGCAUGUGGACAAUAUCAUGUUUGAGAAUCACACCGUCGCUGACCGCUUUCUUGACUUCUGGAGAAAGACAGGGAACCAGCAUUUUGGGUACUUAUACGGACGGUACACGGA
Molecule: small RNA, 428 nt
Filed under: Pan troglodytes (chimpanzee)
Lineage: Eukaryota; Metazoa; Chordata; Mammalia; Primates; Hominidae
Description: retained intron
Source: RNAcentral